AUUGAACGCUGGCGGAAUGCUUUACACAUGCAAGUCGAACGGCAGCACGGACUUCGGUCUGGUGGCGAGUGGCGAACGGGUGAGUAAUACAUCGGAACGUGCCCAGUCGUGGGGGAUAACGUAGCGAAAGCUACGCUAAUACCGCAUACGAUCUAAGGAUGAAAGCGGGGGAUCGCAAGACCUCGCGCGACUGGAGCGGCCGAUGGCAGAUUAGGUAGUUGGUAGGGUAAAGGCCUACCAAGCCGACGAUCUGUAGCUGGUCUGAGAGGAUGAUCAGCCAGACUGGGACUGAGAAACGGGCCAGACUCCUACGGGAGUCAGCAGUGGGGAAUUUUGGACAAUGGGUGAAAGCGUGAUCCAGCCAUGCCGCGUGCAGGAUGAAGGCCUUCGGGUUGUAAACUGCUUUUGUACGGAACGAAAAGGUUUGGGCUAAUAAGCUGAGCUCAUGACGGUACCGUAAGAAUAAGCACCGGCUAACUACGUGCCAGCCGCCGCCGUAA
This 500-nucleotide ribosomal RNA is filed under the name uncultured bacterium. Its description in RNAcentral is "partial 16S ribosomal RNA". It matches the Rfam family "Bacterial small subunit ribosomal RNA", at positions 30 to 523 of the family's 1533-position model. The record is from RNAcentral.